This 1523-nucleotide ribosomal RNA is filed under the name metagenome. Its description in RNAcentral is "bacterial SSU rRNA". It matches the Rfam family "Bacterial small subunit ribosomal RNA". The record is from RNAcentral.
AGAGUUUGAUUCUGGCUCAGAACGAACGCUGGCAGCGUGGAUUAGGCAUGCAAGUCGAACGAGAAUCUCUGGUGUAGCAAUACACCGGGGAGGAGAGUGGCGAAAGGGCGAGUAACGCGUGGGCAAUCUGCCUCUGAGAUCGGGAUAACCCCGCGAAAGCGGAGCUAAUACCGAAUGUGGUGUUCCGGCGCAUGUCGGGAUUUCUGAAGGUGGGGACCUUUCGGGGCCUGCCACUCGGAGAGGAGCCCGCGUCCUAUCAGCUUGUUGGUGGGGUAACGGCCCACCAAGGCUAUGACGGGUAGCUGGUCUUAGAGGAUGGUCAGCCGCACUGGGACUGAGACACUGCCCAGACUCCUACGGGAGGCUGCAGUCGAGGAUCUUUUGCAAUGGGCGCAAGCCUGACAAAGCGACGCUGUGUGGAGGAUGAAGGCCUUCGGGUUGUAAACUCCUGUCAUGUGGGAAAAACGACUCCGUUCCUAAUACGGGCGGGGAGUGAUGGUACUACAAGAGGAAGUGGUUGCUAACUCUGUGCCAGCAGCAGCGGUAAUACAGAGACCACGAGCGUUGUUCGGAUUUACUGGGCGUAAAGGGCGCGUAGGUGGCUUCGCAUGUCGGACGUGAAAUCCCACGGCUCAACCGUGGAACUGCAUCCGAAACUGCGAGGAUAGAGUGCAGGAAGGGAGAGCGGAAUUCUCGGUGUAGCGGUGAAAUGCGUUGAUAUCGAGAAGAACACCGGUGGCGAAGGCGGCUCUCUGGAAUGCAACUGACACUGAGGCACGAAAGCUGGGGGAGCAAACAGGAUUAGAUACCCUGGUAGUCCCAGCCCUAAACGGUGUGCAUUUGGUGUUGGCGGAAUUGACCCCGCCAGUGCCGGAGCUAACGCGUUAAAUGCACCGCCUGGGGAGUACGACCGCAAGGUUGAAACUCAAAGAAAUUGACGGGGGCCCGCACAAGCGGAGGAGCAUGUGGCUCAAUUCGAUGCAACGCGAAGAACCUUACCAGGGCUUGACAUGCAGCUGCACGUCCCGUGAAAGCGGGAUUCCUUCGAGGGUGCUGCACAGGUGCUGCAUGGCUGUCGUCAGUUCGUGCCGUGAGGUGUUGGGUUAAGUCCCGCAACGAACGCAACCCUUGUGUUUAGUUGCCACUCCCGAUGAUGAGUCGGGAAGCACUCUAAACAGACUGCCUGUACAAGCAGGAGGAAGGUGGGGACGACGUCAAGUCAGUAUGGCCCUUACGCCCUGGGCUGCACACGUGCUACAAUGGCUGGUACAGAGGGGUGCAAGACCGCGAGGUGGAGCUAAUCCCCUAAAGCCAGCCCCAGUUCAGAUUGUAGUCUGCAACUCGACUACAUGAAGUUGGAUUCGCUAGUAAUGGCGCAUCAGCUACGGCGCCGUGAAUACGUUCCCGGGCCUUGUACACACCGCCCGUCACAUCAUGAAAGCCGUCUGCACCCGAAGUCGCCGUACCAACCCUGAUCUUGUAUUAGGGAGGAAGGUUCCGAAGGUGUGGGUGGUGAUUGGGAU